CAGCAGCCGCGGUAAUACGAAGGGUGCAAGCGUUAAUCGGAAUUACUGGGCGUAAAGCGUGCGUAGGCGGUUUGUUAAGUCUGUUGUGAAAUCCCCGGGCUCAACCUGGGAGUGGCAAUGGAUACUGGCAAGCUAGAGUGUGCCAGAGGAUGGUGGAAUUCCCGGUGUAGCGGUGAAAUGCGUAGAGAUCGGGAGGAACAUCAGUGGCGAAGGCGGCCAUCUGGGACAACACUGACGCUGAGGCACGAAAGCGUGGGGAGCAAACAGGAUUAGAUACCCCCGUAGUCCCUGUCUCUUAUAC
RNAcentral lists this ribosomal RNA (301 nucleotides) under uncultured bacterium. RNAcentral's name for it is "partial 16S ribosomal RNA". It matches the Rfam family "Bacterial small subunit ribosomal RNA", at positions 509 to 807 of the family's 1533-position model. The record is from RNAcentral.